RNAcentral lists this long non-coding RNA (388 nucleotides) under Vigna radiata. Its description in RNAcentral is "long non-coding RNA (VRAD_LNC004692)". Lineage: Eukaryota; Viridiplantae; Streptophyta; Magnoliopsida; Fabales; Fabaceae. The record is from RNAcentral.
AGCAACCAAAAUUCUUACAUGCAAAUGCCAUCAAAACGACUUUUCUGGAAUGCAAAGUCCUUGAGUUAAGAGAGCUAUCAUAAUAUUCAACAUCCAAGAACAACUCUCUUCCUCACAAAUCUCACUUAUUCCCAACUUUUUCCCUUUUCUUUUGCACUGAGCUCAUCUUCAUGCUUUUUCUACUUUUAUUUUCUUUUUCUCAUGUAUUUUUCUUUAACAACUUUUAAGCUUAAUGCUCUUCAAUUGCCUUUCAAUUUCCCCCAACAACCCCAAACUUGAACCUUUUCAUCACAUACAAUCAAGCUCAUCCCAACUCAAGGUAAAGAAUUUCAAAACAAGGGUUCACAACCUGUUUAAGGUUAAGGUUCAAAAUGGGUAUAAUUUUUUC